AUUUCAUAUGAGAACAAAAGAACCAUCUCCUUAGUCUCUUGUCUCUUACCUUUCAAAAGGGCUACAAGUACUUACCUCUUUUUUUCUUUUUAAGCAGACCUUCUUGCUGGUGAUUUAAUUACCAUCUCACUGAACUCUCCUUGGUGCAUCUCUUGAACUUACAGUGCAUCACAUGAGAAAAAUCAACUCCUUAAUCUGGCCCAGGUCUGUGUGAGCGCUUACGUGGUACUAUUGAGAAGAAGGAACAAGAAGAUGAAUGAGGCAGGACUGCAUCUUUAAUGGGCAUUACCAGGACAGCCUGCUUUGUUGUGCUUCGAAACAGUGGAAUACCUCUCCAAGUGCAUGGUAUAAUUCAGACACUGCAGCCUUAACAACCUUCAGUCUACUUGCCGUUUCUCAUUUAACUUGCAGGAUAUCCAUCUGUUGGUGACGGAAUCUGUCAAACUGGAAUUGUUUGUAACCUGUUGUUAAUUUGAUGUUAGCCGCUUCUUUGUCAAACGUCAUGAAACGACUCACUGAUGCAAAGCUUAUUUCUUAUUUGCAGUUCUGUCAGAUAUAAGACGACGAUAUUGACAACAAUCACUGUAUAGUUAACAAUGGUAACUGUAGAUGGAAUUCUUCACCAUUAAGUAUGCUGCUUAAUGUGUAACACUAAGAGUUCUAAAUCUUCUAAUUAAUUUAACCUCCUGUGGUUAGGGCCAUGGGUUAGUGCCCUUUUCCAAUUCUACUGACUCUUUAAUAACUGGGGGAAAAAAAAAAGAAAAAAAGAAAAAAAAAAAGAAAAAGAAAAGUGGAGGCAGAAAAAUAUAUUUCCUAUGAGUUAUUUGGGCUGAAGUAAUUAAUGGACAUACUGAGGAAAAUAUAUUUGGAAGACAGUCCCUCCCAUAAGAGACUACAUGGGACAAUUGUUUCUCUCUUAAAUCUCUUUUAUAAUUAUAUGAUUAAAAAAGUAGCUGCAGAGAUCCCUUCUUUUUUUAAGUAAGG
This 984-nucleotide long non-coding RNA is filed under the name Phasianus colchicus (ring-necked pheasant). RNAcentral's name for it is "lncRNA (ENSPCLG00000021304.1)". The record is from RNAcentral. Lineage: Eukaryota; Metazoa; Chordata; Aves; Galliformes; Phasianidae.